UACGUAGGGUGCGAGCGUUAAUCGGAAUUACUGGGCGUAAAGCGUGCGCAGGCGGUUUUGUAAGUCUGUCGUGAAAUCCCCGGGCUUAACCUGGGAAUUGCGAUGGAGACUGCAAGGCUGGAGUCUGGCAGAGGGGGGUAGAAUUCCACGUGUAGCAGUGAAAUGCGUAGAGAUGUGGAGGAACACCGAUGGCGAAGGCAGCCCCCUGGGUCAAGACUGACGCUCAUGCACGAAAGCGUGGGGAGCAAACAGG
This 253-nucleotide ribosomal RNA is filed under the name uncultured bacterium. RNAcentral's name for it is "partial 16S ribosomal RNA". It matches the Rfam family "Bacterial small subunit ribosomal RNA", at positions 524 to 776 of the family's 1533-position model. The record is from RNAcentral.